CAAGUCAAGUUAGGUUGUUCGCUUGAGCCGAAAGACUUGGGUUACCUGUGUUUUAGACAUUUCCCUUUGCGCCAGGUAGGCGAACCCACACAUGUGAGGUACCGUUUUCAUAGGGACACAUGUGGAAAGAGGCCAUUUGUUGUGUUUGCAUGGUUUUUAUAACAUUUAACCAAUUUCCUGCUGCCCUUUGUCACACAACCCUUUCAUUUCCCAAAUGUGGCCUACAUCUAGUCACUGUUUUAGGCACUAUAAACUUUUGUAACCUGCACAAGUCACCUACCCUUCAAAUGGUCUUACUGUGUUCUUUCAAAAAAUGUUUGCUUGCCCUUCCUCACCACAUUUGUUUCCCUUAUUAACACAUGCUAAGUAUGUCUGUUUAGGCCAUCAGCAUAAAAAUCCUGUGCACCCUGGCUGCGUUUUUGGCUUGGGGUAUUGCUUGUUUUGUGAAACAUCACAAAAAAUGUGUGAUUUCCUAACUGGAAGAGUCGGGGGAAUGUAGCGGAGCAUUGUUUUUCUCAAAAUUCACAGAAGCCAUUGCCUUACCGGGCCAACCUUGUCUACCACAUACCUUUUGUUUCUGUCAUUUUCCCGAUUCUUCCCCAAACUAUGUAAUUUUCCCUACAUAGUUGUUGCCUAACCUGUGCAAAUCACCCCUUCCUAAACUUGGCAUUGUGUCUACUUCAUAGAAAUGUAUGUCUUUCUGUCCUCUCAAUCAGCUUUCCUACCCUUUUCUUCCAUUCCGUCCAUGCAUAUCCUUUUGGAAAAAAAGCCAAAAUCGCCUACCUUUCACAAAACGGUAGGUAACCAUAUCGAAAUAUGUGUUCUUGGUUUCCACUCAACCUGUUCUUGAAAGCCUGGAAAGAAACUGGGGAAUUCAGCACAGCAAACCAUUUGUUCAUAGCACUUACAAGGAAAAGACCACAGGCUUCUUUGUACACCAUUUUAUUAGCAUUUUCGGAAAAAACCCAAAGUUUCUCAGUUUUUGGUUAUUUUCUCUCACCCGCCCUACAGCAAACAAGGAUUCCUUGUGGCGUUAUGACCGCCUACAUGUGGGAAAAAAGGGGCUGCAUUGGCCGAGACAUAUCAUGUAACAAAAAAGUUACAAGGCAAUGAAUGGCAAAGUACCAAAAUCACCAAAAAAGGCCUUGGAACUGGGGGGGGGCACAUGGCAGUUAAGGGGUCAAGGCACCCGAUGCCCAGGCUCAUCAGACACCAGAAAAAGUGUUGGUUGAUAUAGAUAGCAGGACGGUGGCCAUGGAAGUCGGAAUCCGCUAAGGAGUGUGUAACAACUCACCUGCCGUAAACAACUAGCCCUGAAAAUGGAGGGUGCUGGAGCGGCGGGCCCAUACCCGGCUGUCGCGGGCGCUGAGGGCGCGGGGGCUAAACUGCGACGAGUAGGAGUGCUGCUACGGUGCGCACGGUAGGUGCAGAUCUUGCUGGUAGUAGCAAAUAUUCAAUCAAGAACUUUGAAGGACAAAGUGGAGAAAAGUUCCAUGUGAACAGCAGUUGAACAUGGGUCAGUCGGUCUUAAGAGAUGGGCGUGCGCCGUUCGGAAGGGACAGGCAAUGGCAUCCGUUGCCCUCAGCUGAUCGAAAGGGAGUCGGGUUCAGAUCCCUUCGAACCCAGAGUGGUGGAGACGGGUGCCCUUGCGGCGUCCAUUGCGGUAAUGCAAACUAUCCCUGAGAAGCACGUAGCAGCCCCAGGGAGAGUUCUCUUUUCUUUGUGAAGGGCAGGGCACCCUGGAAUGCGUUCGCCCCGAGAGAGCUGCCCGAGCCUUGGAAAGUGGUGCGGUUCCGGCAGCGUCGGGUGAGCUCUCGCUGCCCCUUGAAAAUCCAGGGGAGAUGGUAUAAAUCUUGCGCCGGGUCGUACCCAUAUCCGCAGCAGGUCUCCAAGGUGAACGGACUCUGGCAUGUUGGAACAAUGUAGGUAAGGGAAGUCGGCAAGUCAGAUCCAUAACUUUGGGAUAAGGAUUGGCUCUAAGGGCUUGGUCGGUUGGGCUGGGGCGCAAAGCAGGGCUGGGGGCACAACGCGACUGGGCGAGGUGUCUCCCCGGGGCGGCGCCGACUCUGGACACAAGCUGGGCCAUUCCUGUGGAUCGCCCUAGCUGUGGUGGUCGCCGCUCUCCAUUGCCCUCCGUGGUUCAGGGCCGGCGUUCUGACUCGGCGACGCCUAGCAACUGACUUAGAACUGGUGCGCAUUAGGGGAAUCUGACUGUUUAAUAAAAAAAAAACAUUGCGAAGGCCCGCGGUGGGUGUUGACGCAAAGUGAUUUCUGCCAGUGCUCUGAAUGUCAAAGUGAAGAAAUUAAUGAAGCGCGGGUAAAUGGCGGGAGUAACUAUGACUCUCUUAAGGUAGCCAAAUGCCUCCAAUGCCUCCUCAUCUAAUUAGUGACACGUAUGAAUGGAUGAAUGAGAUUUCCACUGUCCCUACUUAGAAUCUAGCGAAACCACAGCCAAGGGAACAGGCUUGUCUGAAUCUGUGGGGAAAGAAGACCCUGUUGAGCUCGACUCUAGUCUGGCACUGUGAACAGCCAUGAGAGGUGUAGGAUACGUGGGUUGUCCUCAGGCCGCCGGUGAAAUACCACUACUCAUAGUUUUUUCACUUACCCGGUGAGACAAGCCCCGUGGGGCUCUCGCUUCAAGCUCCAAGCACCCGGCGCCAUACUGGGCGCAUCCCGCUCUGGGGACAGUCGCAGGUGGGCAGUUUGACUGGGGCGGUACACCUGUCAAACGAUAACACAGGUGUCCUAAGGCGAGCUCAGGGAGGACAAAAACCGCCCGCGGAGCAGAAGGGCAAAAGCUAGCUUGAUCUCGAUUUUCAGAAUAAAUACAGAUUGUGUAAAAAGCAGGGCCUCGCGAUCCUUCUGACUUUGAGUUUCAAGCGGGAGGUGUCAGAAAAGUUACCACAGGGAUAACUAGCUUGUGGGGGCUAAGCGUUCAUAGCAACGUCACUUUUUGAUCCUUCAAUGUCGGCUCUUCCUAUCAUUGUGAAGCAGAAUUCACCAAGCGUUGCAUUAUUCACCACUAAUAGGGAACGUGAGCUGGGUUUUACCCUACUGAUGAUGUGUUCUUGCAAUAGUAAUCCUGCUCAGUACGAGAGGAACCACAGGUUCAGACAUUUGGUGUAUGUGCUUGGCUGAGGAGCCAAUGGAGCAAAACUACCAUUUGUGGGAUUAUGACUGAACGCCUCUAAGUCAGAAUCCCCUCUGAACCUUAAGGAUACUGCAGCGCUGCGGAGCCUUGGUUGGCCUAAAAUAGCCGGUCUCUGGGCCGGUGCACAGAGCCGCUUGCCUCGGGACUGGAGUGUGGACAGAAGGGGGCCACCUCUCUCGCCCGUAGUGCACCGCUU
Molecule: ribosomal RNA, 3347 nt
Filed under: Ambystoma mexicanum (axolotl)
Lineage: Eukaryota; Metazoa; Chordata; Amphibia; Caudata; Ambystomatidae
Description: eukaryotic LSU rRNA
Rfam family: Eukaryotic large subunit ribosomal RNA (bases 941-3347)
Source: RNAcentral